Gadus macrocephalus (Pacific cod) is the source of this 1188-nucleotide long non-coding RNA. RefSeq lists it as uncharacterized. The record is from RefSeq and is a predicted model, not a curated record. The transcript is spliced from 2 exons. NCBI's taxonomy places the organism in Eukaryota, Metazoa, Chordata, Actinopteri, Gadiformes, Gadidae.
CGUGGUGGAAACUUUAUAAUGUUACCGUACACAUUACAGUGUACCUGCCGAGGAGACGGUGGGCAGAUGUGGGAAACACUGCAUUAGCUUGGUGGCUGACACAAGCAACAUAUCAGUAAGCUAAAUCACAAUUGAUGUAUCAUAGCAAUAAAUAAGGUCUGUGCUGGAUUACUGUUUGCUUGUACCCCAAAAGCUAUAACGUGGUUCCCUAGGAAGAGCGCACAGUUGACACUUGACCCACAAAGAGUUGAGAGUUUGACUCAGCCAGUGUCUUAGAACUUUUAUCCCUUGCUCUCCACAACUUUGCUGCUGCAAGACGAAGCAGCACUUUCUUAUGAGUUUAGGACUCCACUGAGGGUUGAAAAGGAAGUGGGCGUGGAAAAGUGGGGGAGGCACAUGUAUUUCUACUAGUGCAAAAAACACCGUAGCAGGGAAGGAUAAUUACUUUAUUGUCGCCUCAAACAAAAAACCUGCAUCGGCAGAAAGACAAGUGUGUAAUCGCGUUAUUCGUUUAUGACUACAUAAACAAAUAACAUGAUCCGUUUUUGGUUUUCUUUCACUUUUUUCCUCAUAAAUAUCCAUGGCGUCAGUUUAUUGACGCUCAAUGGGUGUUUCACUCGGUGCCCACACAGUUUCAUCAUAGUGGACGCCUUGCCACCGACGGACGGCUAGAACCUCGCCAUCCUCCCUCCCACCGCUUUCGGGACCAGAAUGGUGAAGAGCGAUGUAAAGCCGUUCCGCCGAAUUCAACAACCGUAGAAACAGAGGAAAGGACACAACAUUAUCGAGACCAAUCUCAUGGGCCCUGACGAACCGGUGAACGGGAUAAGUUUGAUGAAUUUAACCACGGGUCGAACCAAUGAUGGAAGUCUUCAACAGCAGAUGAAACAGGACAUGAAACAGUACAUUUGUUACGAAUGAGAUCAAUCUUAUUUUAGAUUUCUGUUGCCUACUGUAAAACCGAAGAGAUCAGUCUGAGUCAAUUGCGAAUCCGAUAAAGUUGGAUGGAAGGAAGCCAAUGAGUUGGAUGACACCUAGGAUAAUCCCUCAAUCCAGAAAUCUAUGAACAAGAUAUGCAUUGAAGUAGAAACAUUUAUUUCCCUGUGAUAUCAUAGAUGUUUUUCCACUUUGAUUUUGCUAGCGUUUCUGGGCGAUGUGAUGUUUAUAAUGAAAAACCAGUUCAAAUAG